This 464-nucleotide ribosomal RNA is filed under the name uncultured bacterium. RNAcentral's name for it is "SSU rRNA". It matches the Rfam family "Bacterial small subunit ribosomal RNA", at positions 26 to 518 of the family's 1533-position model. The record is from RNAcentral.
AGGACGAACGCUGGCGGCGUGCUUAACACAUGCAAGUCGAGCGAACCUUCGGGUUAGCGGCGAACGGGUGAGUAACACGUGGGCAACCUGCCCCGAGCUCUGGGAUAACUCCGGGAAACCGGGGCUAAUACCGGAUAUGACCCGAGAAGACAUCUUCUCGGGUGGAAAGUUUUUCGGCUCGGGAUGGGCCCGCGGCCUAUCAGCUUGUUGGUGGGGUAACGGCCUACCAAGGCGACGACGGGUAGCCGGCCUGAGAGGGCGACCGGCCACAUUGGGACUGAGACACGGCCCAGACUCCUACGGGAGGCAGCAGUGGGGAAUAUUGCGCAAUGGGCGAAAGCCUGACGCAGCGACGCCGCGUGAGGGAUGAAGGCCUUCGGGUUGUAAACCUCUUUCAGCAGGGACGAAGCGCAAGUGACGGUACCUGCAGAAGAAGCACCGGCCAACUACGCGCCAGCAGCCGC